This 250-nucleotide ribosomal RNA is filed under the name uncultured bacterium. RNAcentral's name for it is "partial 16S ribosomal RNA". It matches the Rfam family "Bacterial small subunit ribosomal RNA", at positions 524 to 773 of the family's 1533-position model. The record is from RNAcentral.
UACGAAGGGGGCUAGCGUUGUUCGGAUUUACUGGGCGUAAAGCGCACGUAGGCGGUUUGUUAAGUCAGGGGUGAAAUCCCGGAGCUCAACUCCGGAACUGCCUUUGAUACUGGCAAGCUAGAGUCCGGAAGAGGUAAGUGGAACUCCUAGUGUAGAGGUGGAAUUCGUAGAUAUUAGGAAGAACACCAGUGGCGAAGGCGGCUUACUGGUCCGGAACUGACGCUGAGGUGCGAAAGCGUGGGGAGCAAAC